Long non-coding RNA from Oncorhynchus masou masou (cherry salmon), 1800 nucleotides. RefSeq lists it as uncharacterized. NCBI's taxonomy places the organism in Eukaryota, Metazoa, Chordata, Actinopteri, Salmoniformes, Salmonidae. The record is from RefSeq and is a predicted model, not a curated record. The transcript has 3 exons.
UACCUGCCUCUAACCACUAGGCUACCUGCCUCUAACCACUAGGCUACCUGCCUCUAACCACUAGGCUACCUGCCUCUAACCACUAGGCUACCUGCCUCUAACCACUAGGCUACCUGCCUCUAACCACUAGGCUACCUGCCUCUAACCACUAGGCUACCUGCCUCUAACCACUAGGCUACCCUGACUCUAACCACUAGGCUACCUGCCUCUAACCACUAGGCUACGCUGCCUCUAACCACUAGGCUACCUGCCUCUAACCACUAGGCUACCUGCCUCUAACCACUAGGCUACCUGCCUCUAACCACUAGGCUACCUGCCUCUAACCACUAGGCUACCUGCCUCUAACCACUAGGCUACCUGCCUCUAACCACUAGGCUACCCUGCCUCUAACCACUAGGCUACCUGCCUCUAACCACUAGGCUACCUGCCUCUAACCACUAGGCUACCUGCCUCUAACCACUAGGCUACCUGCCUGUCUUGUAUUUCUUCAGGUCAAACACCUCCAGAACCUGGUCUGAUAUCUGCAGCAUGAAGGCCAACGCUUCAUGAACAUUUAGUGUGUUGGGGACCUAGUAGCUGAGGAAUGACAGUAGCUGAGGAAUGACAGUAGCUGAGGAAUGACAGGAGCUGAGGAAUGACAGGAGCUGAGGAAUGACCGGAGCUGAGGAAUGACCGGAGCUGAGGAAUGACCGUAGCUGAGGAAUGGAACAUUCUUGUGCUUUUUUAAAAACAUUUUAUUAGACAUUGUAUUGAUUACUGUUUGGUUUCACAUCGUUUCUUUAUUUAUUGUUGUAGUACUGUAAAUCAGGGCACCCUGGGGGAUGAGACCCUGGUCUCAUUGGUUUUCCCCUGAAUAAAUGAAUAAAUUAAUAAAAUGACAGAUCUGGGUUUAUGGUGGUGUGUGGGUCUGGAUGGUUGCCCAGGCGACUGACGACAGUCGACCUAUCCCUGACCUGCAGAUCUUUAGGCAUAGUGGAGACAGGACUCCACCUGCUGGUUAAAAAGAUCAUAACUACUAUCAGAAUCUUCAUCCGUCCACUUCCCAUCAUCACCUCUCAAGCAAGGUUCGUGUGUAGUGUCAUGAUUUAAGCUACUGAUAUUGAAGGCGUGACCAGGGACUUGAUCCCGGGUCCAACGACUAUCAAGCCAACACAUGAAUCGCUACAUUAUAUCGGUUAACUUUGACACAACACCUGAAGACACAUGAACAAUGUAACCACAGACGUGGAGGGGGAAAAAAAGACUGAUCCUAAAACAUAAAUUGACAGAUUUAAUCGUCAAGGCACAACAAUCAUUGUCAGCUGAAAGGUCAAAAGGUCAGUUGAUAGAUGAGGUAGAACAACACAAGAGGCAUCUAUGGACAAUUUUGUCUCUGUCCCAAAUGGCACCCAAUCGAUUCCCUAUAUAGUGCACUACUUUUAACCAGUGCCUAUAGGGCUUUGGUAAAAAUGUAGUGCACUAGGUAGGGAAUAGGGUGGCAUUUAUGGGUCUACCAUCCAUCAUUACCCAUAAUGCUUCAGGAAGGUUCUGUUUUUGACAAUAACUAUAGUGAUACAGUCUACAGUCCACCAGUACAGGUAUUGUGAUACAGUCCACCAGUACAGGUAUUGUGAUACAGUCCACCAGUACAGGUAUUGUGAUAGAGUCUCCAGUCCACCAGUACAGGUAUUGUGAUAGUCUCCAGUCCACCAGUACAGGUAUUGUGAUACAGUCCACCAGUACAGGUAUUGUGAUACAGUCCACCAGUACAGGUAUUGUGAUACAGUCCACCAGUACAGGUAUUGUGAUACAGUCCACCAG